CACUCAUCAAGACCGGCUGAGGGAUUAGGCCCUUUGACGCCGGGGCAACCAUCGGGUUUCACCACCCGAAACGGUGCCAACUCCUGCGGGGUCCUUCGGGGUCGCGAGAGAUGAGUG
Molecule: non-coding RNA, 117 nt
Organism: Caulobacterales bacterium GWE1_67_11
Lineage: Bacteria; Pseudomonadati; Pseudomonadota; Alphaproteobacteria; Caulobacterales
Source: Rfam